GAUUCUGGCUCAGGAUGAACGCUAGCUACAGGCUAACACAUGCAAGUCGAGGGGCAGCAUUGGAGUAGCAAUACUCAGAUGGCGACCGGCGCACGGGUGAGUAACACGUAUCCAACCUGCCGCUUACUCGGGGAUAGCCUUUCGAAAGAAAGAUUAAUACCCGAUGGUAUAAAGAGUUCGCAUGUUCUCUUUAUUAAAGAAUUUCGGUAAGCGAUGGGGAUGCGUUCCAUUAGAUAGUUGGCGGGUAACGGCCCACCAAGUCUACGAUGGAUAGGGUCUGAGAGGAAGGUCCCCCACAUUGGAACUGAGACACGGUCCAAACUCCUACGGGAGGCAGCAGUGAGGAAUAUUGGUCAAUGGACGAGAGUCUGAACCAGCCAAGUAGCAUGAAGGAUGACUGCCCUAUGGGUUGUAAACUUCUUUUAUAAGGGAAUAAAGUGAGGGACGUGUCCCUUUUUGUAUGUACCUUAUGAAUAAGGAUCGGCUAACUCCGUGCCAGCAGCAGC
This 506-nucleotide ribosomal RNA is filed under the name uncultured bacterium. RNAcentral's name for it is "bacterial SSU rRNA". It matches the Rfam family "Bacterial small subunit ribosomal RNA", at positions 15 to 518 of the family's 1533-position model. The record is from RNAcentral.